Molecule: ribosomal RNA, 253 nt
Filed under: uncultured bacterium
Lineage: Bacteria
Description: partial 16S ribosomal RNA
Rfam family: Bacterial small subunit ribosomal RNA
Source: RNAcentral
UACGGAGGGUGCAAGCGUUAAUCGGAAUUACUGGGCGUAAAGCGCACGCAGGUGGCUGAGUCAGUCGAUUGUGAAAGCCCUGGGCUUAACCUGGGAAUUGCAGUCGAUACUACUCAGCUAGAGGAUGGUAGAGGCGAGUGGAAUUCCCGGUGUAGCGGUGAAAUGCGCAGAUAUCGGGAGGAACACCAGUAGCGAAGGCGGGUCUCUGGGCCGAUACUGACGCUGAGGAGCGAAAGCGUGGGGAGCGAACAGG